GACGAACGCUGGCGGCGUGCUUAACACAUGCAAGUCGAACGGAAAGGCCCUGCUUUUGUGGGGUGCUCGAGUGGCGAACGGGUGAGUAACACGUGAGUAACCUGCCCUUGACUUUGGGAUAACUUCAGGAAACUGGGGCUAAUACCGGAUAGGAGCUCCUGCUGCAUGGUGGGGGUUGGAAAGUUUCGGCGGUUGGGGAUGGACUCGCGGCUUAUCAGCUUGUUGGUGGGGUAGUGGCUUACCAAGGCUUUGACGGGUAGCCGGCCUGAGAGGGUGACCGGCCACAUUGGGACUGAGAUACGGAGCAGAAUCCUACGGGAGGCAGCAGUGGGGAAUAUUGCACAAUGGGGGGAAGCGUGAUGCAGCAACGCCGCGUGCGGGAUGACGGCCUUCGGGUUGUAAACCGCUUUCGCAUGUGACGAAGCGUGAGUGACGGUAAUGGGUAAAGAAGCACCGGCUAACUACGUG
RNAcentral lists this ribosomal RNA (468 nucleotides) under uncultured bacterium. RNAcentral's name for it is "partial 16S ribosomal RNA". It matches the Rfam family "Bacterial small subunit ribosomal RNA", at positions 28 to 507 of the family's 1533-position model. The record is from RNAcentral.